This 253-nucleotide ribosomal RNA is filed under the name uncultured bacterium. RNAcentral's name for it is "partial 16S ribosomal RNA". It matches the Rfam family "Bacterial small subunit ribosomal RNA", at positions 524 to 776 of the family's 1533-position model. The record is from RNAcentral.
UACGAAGGGGGCUAGCGUUGCUCGGAAUCACUGGGCGUAAAGCGCACGUAGGCGGCUUUCUAAGUCAGGGGUGAAAUCCUGGAGCUCAACUCCAGAACUGCCUUUGAUACUGGAGAGCUUGAGUCCGGAAGAGGUGAGUGGAACUCCGAGUGUAGAGGUGAAAUUCGUAGAUAUUCGGAAGAACACCAGUGGCGAAGGCGGCUCACUGGUCCGGUACUGACGCUGAGGUACGAAAGCGUGGGGAGCAAACAGG